UACGAGUGCCCCAAGCGUUAUCCGGAAUUAUUGGGCGUAAAGGGCAGGUAGGUGGUUUGAUAAGUCUGUUGUGAAAGCUCCCGGCUUAACUGGGAGAGGUCAACAGAAACUAUCAGGCUUGAGUAUGGGAGAGGGUACUGGAAUUCCCGGUGUAGCGGUGAAAUGCGCAGAGAUCGGGAGGAACACCUAUGGCGAAAGCAGGUACCUGGACCAUUACUGACACUCAGCUGCGAAAGCUAGGGGAGCAAACAGG
Molecule: ribosomal RNA, 253 nt
Filed under: uncultured bacterium
Lineage: Bacteria
Description: partial 16S ribosomal RNA
Rfam family: Bacterial small subunit ribosomal RNA
Source: RNAcentral